RNAcentral lists this signal recognition particle RNA (100 nucleotides) under Nitrospirota bacterium. RNAcentral's name for it is "signal recognition particle sRNA small type". It matches the Rfam family "Bacterial small signal recognition particle RNA". Rfam says of the family: The signal recognition particle (SRP) is a universally conserved ribonucleoprotein involved in the co-translational targeting of proteins to membranes. Archaeal SRP consists of a 7S RNA and homologues of the eukaryotic SRP19 and SRP54 proteins. In most bacteria, the SRP consists of a 4.5S RNA and the Ffh protein (a homologue of the eukaryotic SRP54 protein). The record is from RNAcentral. Lineage: Bacteria; Pseudomonadati; Nitrospirota.
GGCUGGGCCCUGUGCGACAGAAUCCUGCAAACCCCGCCAGGUCCGGAAGGAAGCAACGGUAAGUGGGCUAGUCUGUGUGCCGCAGGAUCACCUGGCCCCG